This 389-nucleotide long non-coding RNA is filed under the name Penaeus japonicus. Its description in RNAcentral is "uncharacterized LOC122264537". The record is from RNAcentral. Lineage: Eukaryota; Metazoa; Arthropoda; Malacostraca; Decapoda; Penaeidae.
UGAGCCGUCGUGCCGUUCGGUGCCGCGCCUCUCAACCGCUUUCUCUUGUUAGUGAAAUGUGGGGAAUCGGACCUUAGAGUUUCUGGUCGUGGCAAAUAUUCCACGCCUUGGGAUCCUGAUCAAGAUUAUCACUAUUUGCUGUGAGAAUCCCUGACUAUUUUGAAAGCUUGUCAGAGACACAUCUAAAUUGCGCGUUGUGCGUUACGGAGAAGAAACUCGAAAUAAAAGUGUCUAAAAAAAACAGAAAAUAGAGAUAAAUAGAUAGAUAUAUAGAAAUAGAAACGAAAGUGUGGACCCUUAGACUUUCAGUUGGAUAGAUCCCCUCUUUUAGGGUCGUUUCAGUGUUGUUCUUGUUGUUUUUUCAGUCCUGAAAAUAAGAUAUACCAAAA